RNAcentral lists this ribosomal RNA (404 nucleotides) under Dermacentor andersoni. Its description in RNAcentral is "partial 16S ribosomal RNA". The record is from RNAcentral. Lineage: Eukaryota; Metazoa; Arthropoda; Arachnida; Ixodida; Ixodidae.
UAUUUUGACUAUACAAAGGUAUUGUAAUAAGAUUUUAAUUGAAUGCUAAGAGAAUGGAAUUUCAGGGAAAAACUGUUUUAAACUUAAAAAUUAAAUUUAUUUUAAUUUGUGAAGAAACAAUUAUUUAAAUUAAGGACAAGAAGACCCUAAGAAUUUUAAAAAUAAUAAUUUUAAUAAAUAAAAUUAUUAUUUUUUAGUUGGGGCAACUAAAAAAGAUUAUAAACUUUUUAUUUAAUAAAAUGAUCCAUUAUUAAUGAUAAUUUGAUAAAAAUACUCUAGGGAUAACAGCGUAAUAAUUUUUGAUAGAACAUAUAGACAAAAUAGUUUGCGACCUCGAUGUUGGAUUAGGAUACUUUUUUAAUGAAGAUGUUAAAAAAAGAAGUUUGUUCAACUUUUAAAGUCCU